RNAcentral lists this ribosomal RNA (36 nucleotides) under Fusarium oxysporum. Its description in RNAcentral is "partial 28S ribosomal RNA". The record is from RNAcentral. Lineage: Eukaryota; Fungi; Ascomycota; Sordariomycetes; Hypocreales; Nectriaceae.
UGACCUCGGAUCAGGUAGGAAUUCCCCAAAUUUUCU